UACGGAGGAUGCGAGCGUUAUCCGGAUUUAUUGGGUUUAAAGGGUGCGUAGGCGGCUUUUUAAGUCAGCGGUGAAAUUUUGCAGCUUAACUGUAACAGUGCCGUUGAUACUGGGGAGCUAGGAUUUGGUUGCUGUGGGUGGAAUGUGUGGUGUAGCGGUGAAAUGCUUAGAGAUUAGGAAGAACACCAGUAGCGAAGGCGGCCAGCUGGGAUACACCUGACGCUGAGAUGCGAAGGCGUGGGGAGCGAACGGGAUUAGAUACCCCGGUAGUCCCU
This 275-nucleotide ribosomal RNA is filed under the name uncultured prokaryote. RNAcentral's name for it is "partial 16S ribosomal RNA". It matches the Rfam family "Bacterial small subunit ribosomal RNA", at positions 524 to 798 of the family's 1533-position model. The record is from RNAcentral.